CCUACGGGAGGCUGCAGUGGGGGAUAUUGCACAAUGGGGGAAACCCUGAUGCAGCGACGCCGCGUGGGUGAAGAAGCGCCUCGGCGCGUAAAGCCCUGUCAGCAGGGAAGAAAAUGACGGUACCUGAAGAAGAAGCCCCGGCUAACUACGUGCCAGCAGCCGCGGUAAUACGUAGGGGGCAAGCGUUAUCCGGAUUUACUGGGUGUAAAGGGGGCGCAGACGGCGAGGCAAGCCAGGAGUGAAAGGCCGGGGCCCAACCGCGGGACUGCUGUUGGAACUGUGUGGCUAGAGUGCAGGAGGGGCAGGCGGAAUUCGUGGUGUAGCGGUGAAAUGCGUAGAUAUCAGGAAGAACACCGGUGGCGAAGGCGGCCUGCUGGACUGCAACUGACGUUGAGGCCCGAAAGCGUGGGGAGCAAACAGGAUUAGAUACCCCUGUAGUC
This 440-nucleotide ribosomal RNA is filed under the name uncultured bacterium. RNAcentral describes it as "partial 16S ribosomal RNA". It matches the Rfam family "Bacterial small subunit ribosomal RNA", at positions 338 to 795 of the family's 1533-position model. The record is from RNAcentral.